UUGGUCCACUGUAGGAGUAGGAUGUGCAUCAAAAUAGGAUCUAUCGAUCCUAACAGAAGGGAGUAGUCUUAUGAGAUUUAAGAGACUGAGUCCUUAAGUCUAUGGCCAUGACAGUGUAAUUGAUGGAAAAGAAUUUUCAUAGAAUCAUAUAUGGACUUAAGCUGAUUGAAUCUGUUAUAUGACCGAUGUUGAGGUUUGACGAUUUAUCCAUGACCUGCCAUAU
This 223-nucleotide long non-coding RNA is filed under the name Elaeis guineensis (African oil palm). RNAcentral describes it as "long non-coding RNA (EGUI_LNC074959)". Lineage: Eukaryota; Viridiplantae; Streptophyta; Magnoliopsida; Arecales; Arecaceae. The record is from RNAcentral.